UCAAAUUUGCUGGGCAUUAUAGUCCAAUGCACUCGAGCAACAAGAUGAAGUCACUAUCCACGUUCCAGCAUGAUGCAACAUGUAUGGCUCUUUUAUUGGAUGGAAGUGCUGCCUUGGGUCUUGACUUGAGCUUUGUAACACAUGUAUUCUUAAUGGAGCCAAUCUGGGACAGAAGCAUGGAGGAACAAGUGAUUAGUCGUGCUCAUAGAAUGGGUGCUACUCGUCCCAUUCACGUGGAAACUUUAGCAAUGCGUGGUACAAUCGAAGAGCAAAUGUUGGAAUUCCUAAAGGAUGCUGA
This 298-nucleotide unclassified non-coding RNA is filed under the name Hevea brasiliensis (rubber tree). Lineage: Eukaryota; Viridiplantae; Streptophyta; Magnoliopsida; Malpighiales; Euphorbiaceae. The record is from RNAcentral.